GGCUCAGGACGAACGCUGGCGGCGUGCUUAACACAUGCAAGUCGAACGAUGAACCACUUCGGUGGGGAUUAGUGGCGAACGGGUGAGUAACACGUGGGCAAUCUGCCCUUCACUCUGGGACAAGCCCUGGAAACGGGGUCUAAUACCGGAUAACACUCCCUCUCUCAUGGGUGGGGGUUAAAAGCUCCGGCGGUGAAGGAUGAGCCCGCGGCCUAUCAGCUUGUUGGUGAGGUAAUGGCUCACCAAGGCGACGACGGGUAGCCGGCCUGAGAGGGCGACCGGCCACACUGGGACUGAGACACGGCCCAGACUCCUACGGGAGGCAGCAGUGGGGAAUAUUGCACAAUGGGCGAAAGCCUGAUGCAGCGACGCCGCGUGAGGGAUGACGGCCUUCGGGUUGUA
This 402-nucleotide ribosomal RNA is filed under the name Streptomyces sp. RNAcentral's name for it is "bacterial SSU rRNA". It matches the Rfam family "Bacterial small subunit ribosomal RNA", at positions 21 to 427 of the family's 1533-position model. Lineage: Bacteria; Bacillati; Actinomycetota; Actinomycetes; Kitasatosporales; Streptomycetaceae. The record is from RNAcentral.